This 928-nucleotide small RNA is filed under the name Pongo abelii (Sumatran orangutan). RNAcentral describes it as "processed transcript". The record is from RNAcentral. Lineage: Eukaryota; Metazoa; Chordata; Mammalia; Primates; Hominidae.
CGCGUCCCAGCCAUGGCGACAUCCCCGGCCGCGCUGCCCCGAAUACUCGGCGCGGGUGCCCGGGCCCCGUCGCGCUGGCUGGGCUUCCUCGGGAAGGCGAUCCCCGGACCUGCUCGGCCGAGCCGCAGGACGCUUGGAAGCGCGACGGCCCCUGUGAUCCUCGAGUCCGAGGACGGCCCCGAUUUCAACGACAAGAUUCUGAAUGAGCCCCUCAAGCACUCUGACUUCUUCAAUGUCAAGGAACUGUUUUCCGUGAGAAGCCUCUUCGAUGCCCGAGUGCAUCUGGGACACAAAGCUGGCUGUCGGCACAGUUUUAGGUGAUGACAGCCCCAUCCUCCUCCACAUGGGAACACAGAGCCCCACAGGGAAGUAGCAGUUUAUUCCUAAGCUUGGCAGGGGCUCUUGUGUGCCUUGGCGUGGCGCUCACAGCCCUUGAUAGGGCAGGCCUGCUGGGGGAUGCAGGACUCCACGGGUUCAGAAAUGGAAAGGCUGAGGGCAGAACCUGUAAGGUUUAUGGAGCCGUACAUCUUUGGGAGCCGCCUGGACCACGACAUCAUCGACCUGGAACAGACAGCCGUGCACCUCCAGCUGGCCUUGAACUUCACCGCCCACAUGGCCUACCGCAAGGGCAUCAUCUUGUUUAUAAGCCGCAACCGGCAGUUCUCAUACCUGAUUGAGAACACGGCCCGUGACUGUGGCGAGUACGCCCACACUCGCUACUUCAAGGGCGGCAUGCUGACCAACGCGCGCCUCCUCUUUGGCCCCACGGUCCGCCUGCCGGACCUCAUCAUCUUCCUGCACACGCUCAACAACAUCUUUGAGCCACACGUGGCCGUGAGAGACGCAGCCAAGAUGAACAUCCCCACAGUGGGCAUCGUGGACACCAACUGCAACCCCUGCCUAAUCACCUACCCUGUACCCGGCAACG